GUGGGUGGAAACUCAUCGUAGAGGUCACAUGCAGGGUGCUAGUCACUUAACCAAUCACCUUGGGGAAGGUCUGAGACAGGAGCCAAUGACUGCCCUAGCAGGGCAUCACCCUCUCUGGGUGAAUGAGUGCACAGAGAAUAUUGGCUGUUGUGAGCUGUCUUCACAGGAGAAACCAGCCAGUGUAGCUCUCCAGCACUUCUGGUGGAUGUGACCCCCACUGGUUUGGAAUCACUCAUGGCUGGCAUAUGAGUGCAAUGUGAGUUGGAGUAUACCUCCAGAACACUCUGCCCAC
This 292-nucleotide RNase P RNA is filed under the name Salmo salar (Atlantic salmon). RNAcentral describes it as "Nuclear RNase P (ENSSSAG00000096639.1)". It matches the Rfam family "Nuclear RNase P". Rfam says of the family: Ribonuclease P (RNase P) is a ubiquitous endoribonuclease, found in archaea, bacteria and eukarya as well as chloroplasts and mitochondria. Its best characterised activity is the generation of mature 5'-ends of tRNAs by cleaving the 5'-leader elements of precursor-tRNAs. Lineage: Eukaryota; Metazoa; Chordata; Actinopteri; Salmoniformes; Salmonidae. The record is from RNAcentral.